RNAcentral lists this non-coding RNA (31 nucleotides) under Mus musculus (house mouse). The record is from RNAcentral. Lineage: Eukaryota; Metazoa; Chordata; Mammalia; Rodentia; Muridae.
UGAAAAUUUCUGGUUGCCAUACUAAACAAGG